CUAUUAGGUUGGUGCAAAAGUAAUUGCGGUUUUUCCCAUUACUUUCAAUGGCAAAUGCUGCAAUUACUUGUGCACCAAC
RNAcentral lists this microRNA precursor (79 nucleotides) under Gorilla gorilla gorilla (western lowland gorilla). RNAcentral's name for it is "miRNA (ENSGGOG00000042399.1)". The record is from RNAcentral. Lineage: Eukaryota; Metazoa; Chordata; Mammalia; Primates; Hominidae.